CUUCCCGUCAUUGGGGAGUAGCUGACCGCCACGCGCAACGUGUGGCGGGGCCCGCGUCAACACACUUGGCCCUCACGGCCAUGGCGCGGGCAGUGGAACACCCACCUGGCAAGACCUUUGACUGCACGCCUUCCGGAACAAGGGCCGGGCGGGUGUGCGGUCGUCUUGGUUGUCAGGCCCUGGAGUGUU
RNAcentral lists this small RNA (189 nucleotides) under Rhizobacter gummiphilus. Its description in RNAcentral is "Manganese sequence". It matches the Rfam family "Manganese Mn2+ riboswitch aptamer (yybP-ykoY)". From Rfam's summary of the family: This RNA was originally discovered in E. coli during a large scale screen and was named SraF. The family was later found to exist upstream of related families of protein genes in many bacteria, including the the yybP and ykoK genes in B. subtilis. Lineage: Bacteria; Pseudomonadati; Pseudomonadota; Betaproteobacteria; Burkholderiales; Sphaerotilaceae. The record is from RNAcentral.